Molecule: ribosomal RNA, 253 nt
Filed under: uncultured bacterium
Lineage: Bacteria
Description: partial 16S ribosomal RNA
Rfam family: Bacterial small subunit ribosomal RNA
Source: RNAcentral
UACGAAGGGAGCUAGCGUUGUUCGGAAUCACUGGGCGUAAAGCGCACGUAGGCGGAUUUGUCAGUCAGGGGUGAAAUCCCGGGGCUCAACCUCGGAACUGCCUUUGAUACAGCAAGGCUAGAGUCCGGAAGAGGAGAGUGGAAUUCCCGGUGUAGCGGUGAAAUGCGCAGAUAUCGGGAAGAACACCCGUGGCGAAGGCGGCUCUCUGGGACGGUACUGACGCUGAGACGCGAAAGCGUGGGGAGCGAACAGG